This is a long non-coding RNA of Carassius carassius (crucian carp), 937 nucleotides long. RefSeq lists it as uncharacterized. The transcript is spliced from 2 exons. The record is from RefSeq and is a predicted model, not a curated record. NCBI's taxonomy places the organism in Eukaryota, Metazoa, Chordata, Actinopteri, Cypriniformes, Cyprinidae.
GUCAAAAUUGUGCGCCACGUUGGUUCUAUACGUCAUUGCGGGCGCAUGUGUUGAAUCAACACCAGGCCACCGGCGGCGAGGCCGUUUAAGAGUAAUUGAUUUAAAAUGACGGUGUUUCACGACGAGGUUGAAAUAGAAGAUUUUGAAUAUGAUGAAGAAACAGAAACAUAUUAUUUUCCUUGUCCAUGUGGUGACAGAUUUGCGAUAACGAAGGCAAGUUUUGUUUCUCCUGUCAUAACUUGACAUUUUCACUUUCUAAACGUGUAACUUAUAUAUAUUGAUAUGUCAUUAAUUAAAAAAUUAUUUGAAUUUGUGUAGUCGUAACUUUUACAGUGUAACGUUAUUGUUAUAUGAGCGGGUAAAUUAACGGAUAAAUUUUUGGAAUAGCUUACAGAAGUACUGCAGAACUAGAAGAUAUUAACACUGGAAAAAAAGAAUAAAGGAAAAGAAACUGACAUUUAAUUGAUCUUAUAAUAUAUAUCUGUGUAUUGGCUCGAGGUGUCAGGGUAUAACUAAGUGGCAAAUAUUUUUAGGCGAAUUAAAUAAUAUUUUAUUGAGGGAAACUGCUUCUGUUUUUCAGGAUGAUCUUGAGAAUGGUGAAGAAGUGGCCACCUGUCCGAGUUGCUCACUUAUAGUAAAAGUAAUCUAUGAUAAGGAGCAGUUUAUGUGUGGAGAAGUAAUUGAAGCACCAAAAACAUCAGAUAACAAAUUGGAGCUGGCCCAGAGUUGAGACAUAGACAUCGACAUGACUCUUUCACCUGAUCCUUUGCCCUGAUAAUGGACUUAAUGCACAUCUGUCAUUUCACAUAUGCAGAUCUUUUGUGAGAAAACUGAUCACAUUGGACUUGAGAAUUUUAGCACCAAGAUUUUGCACACAAUUUACUUUUCUGUUAAAGUUAUUUAAGUUAAAAUAAUAAAUAAAAAACUUUUAAAACAA